GCUGUCAGUGAUGCCUUUACCCAUCUUGUUUGAGAUUACCAUGAUAAGACUCACAUGCACUACCAUCUGAGACAGC
Molecule: small nucleolar RNA, 76 nt
Organism: Alosa alosa (allis shad)
Lineage: Eukaryota; Metazoa; Chordata; Actinopteri; Clupeiformes; Clupeidae
Source: RefSeq, a predicted model, not a curated record